AACGAACGCUGGCGGCAGGCCUAACACAUGCAAGUCGAACGCCGUAGCAAUACGGAGUGGCAGACGGGCGAGUAACGCGUGGGAACAUACCCCUCGGUUCGGAAUAACUUAGGGAAACGUUAGAGCUAAUACCGGAUACGUCCGAGGUUUAACCGGUCCUCGGAGAAAGAUUUAUCGCCGGAGGAUUGGCCCGCGUCUGAUUAGCUAGUUGGUAAGGUAACGGCUUACCAAGGCGACGAUCCGUAGCCGGCCUGAGAGGGCGGUCGGCCACACUGACACUGACAUACGGGUCAGACUCCUACGGGAGGGCAGCAGUCGGGAAUUUUGGGCAAUGGGCGAAAGCCUGACCCAGCAACGCCGCGUGAAGGAUGAAAUCCCUCGGGAUGUAAACUUCGCAAGAACGGGAAGAAUAAA
This 414-nucleotide ribosomal RNA is filed under the name uncultured bacterium. RNAcentral describes it as "bacterial SSU rRNA". It matches the Rfam family "Bacterial small subunit ribosomal RNA", at positions 29 to 453 of the family's 1533-position model. The record is from RNAcentral.